This is a non-coding RNA of Nothobranchius furzeri (turquoise killifish), 721 nucleotides long. NCBI's taxonomy places the organism in Eukaryota, Metazoa, Chordata, Actinopteri, Cyprinodontiformes, Nothobranchiidae. The record is from RefSeq and is a predicted model, not a curated record.
CAAUUCGAUUCCAUAGGCUUCAAUAACACGUUAUCUGUCCAUAAUGGGAGGUGUCCACCACCGCCAUUUUGACCGUGUCACAGGUUCCGUCCAGCCCAGACAAUUCCAUAAAAGGGAAGAGAGGAGGCGCUGAGGGUGUGGCUGUAAGGCUGGGCUCGAGUGACGACACCCAGGCGAACUAGCUACGAGCUAACCUGAAGCUAACCCUGGCUAACCCAAAGCUAAAGCGGAGGUGGGAGCCGAGCUAACGGAUGUAGCCACCUAGCUUCAACCCAACCGGAGCUAACUGGAACACCCAUCGACCUGAACCUCACACGGAGUUUAGGUGGAGGUUUUCUGCGCCUGUUCGUGAGAAGUACCUGUAUUAAAAAAGUUUUAAAUCGAUCUAUUAAAAGGUCACCAUGGCAGCCUGUGUGUCAACGUCAGCUACACAAAGCAAGUGUAAGUAACAAGUACCUGUCUUGACCACUUCAUGUAUGGUUUUGUACUUUAAACAACUAGGCCAAACCUGUUAUUUUUUCUCCAUAGCCAUUUGGAUCAUUGGAGACAGCUGAGUGAGGCGUGGUGCCCAGAGAGCUGCAGAGACAACCUUGGCCUCCCUGACGUCUGUGUCUCUUGGUUUGGUUGGGGCGGACCAUCGACAUACAUACAUACAUGUGCCGACACUUUGCGCCCUGUUUUAUAAAAUGUAGUGUUAAAAAUAAAUGUUUUUGCUCAAUUA